GAUGAACGCUGGCGGCGUGCCUAAUACAUGCAAGUCGAGCGAACAGAUGAGGAGCUUGCUCCUCUGACGUUAGCGGCGGACGGGUGAGUAACACGUGGAUAACCUACCUAUAAGACUGGGAUAACUUCGGGAAACCGGAGCUAAUACCGGAUAAUAUAUUUAACCGCAUGGUUCAAUAGUGAAAGACGGUUUUGCUGUCACUUAUAGAUGUAUCCGCGCCGCAUUAGCUAGUUGGUAAGGUAACGGCUUACCAAGGCAACGAUGCGUAGCCGACCUGAGAGGGUGAUCGGCAACAAUGGAACUGAGAACCGGUCCAGACUCCUACGGGAGGCAGCAGUAGGGAAUCUUCCGCAAAGGGCGAAAGCCUGACGGAGCAACGCCGCGUGAGUGAUGAAGGUCUUCGGAUCGUAAAACUCUGUUAUUAGGGAAGAACAAAUGUGUAAGUAACUAUGCACGUCUUGACGGUACCUAAUCAGAAAGCCACGGCUAACUACGUG
This 497-nucleotide ribosomal RNA is filed under the name uncultured bacterium. RNAcentral describes it as "partial 16S ribosomal RNA". It matches the Rfam family "Bacterial small subunit ribosomal RNA", at positions 28 to 507 of the family's 1533-position model. The record is from RNAcentral.